RNAcentral lists this long non-coding RNA (1151 nucleotides) under Apteryx owenii (little spotted kiwi). RNAcentral describes it as "lncRNA (ENSAOWG00000005319.1)". Lineage: Eukaryota; Metazoa; Chordata; Aves; Apterygiformes; Apterygidae. The record is from RNAcentral.
CAAGGAGAGGUGUGCUGCUGGAUCUCAUACUAACAAACAAAGAAGGACUGGUGGAAGAUGUGAAGGUCGGGGGCAGCCUUGGCUGCAGUGACCAYGAGAUGGUGGAGUUCAGGAUCCUGCGAGGAGGCAGCAGGGCACCAAGUAGGAUCGCAACCCUGGACUUCRGGAGAGCAAACUUUGGCCUCUUCAGGGACCUACUUGGAGGAAUCCCAUGGGUUASRGCCCUAGAAGGAAGGGGCAUUCAAGAGAGCUGGUUAAUAUUCAAACAUCACCUCCUCCAGGCUCAAGAGCGGUGCAUCCCUAUGAGUAGGAAGUCAAGCAAAGGAGGUAGGAGACCUGCAUGGAUGAGCAAGGAGCUCCUGGCAAAACUCAAGCAGAAGAAGGAAGUAUACAGAAAGUGGAAAGGGGGACAGGCCACUUGGGAGGAAUAUAGGAACGUUGUCAGAGUAUGCAGGGAUGCGACGAGGAAGGCUAAGGCCCGUUUGGAAUUAAAUCUGGCUAGAGAUGUCAAGGACAGCAAGAAGGGCUUCUUCAAAUACAUCAGCAGCAAGAGGAAGACUAGGGAAAAUGUGGGCCCUUUGCUGAAUGGGGUGGGUGCCCUGGUGACAAAGGAUGCAGAGAAGGCAGAGCCACUGAAUGCCUUCUUUGCUUCAGUCUUUACUGCUCAGGCCAGCCCUCAGGAAUCCCAGAUCCUGGAGGCAAGAGAGAAAGUCUGGAGGAAGGAAGACUUUCCCUUGGUGGAGGAGGAGUGGGUUAGAGAUCAUUUAAGCAAACUUGACACCCACAAAUCCAUGGGACCUGAUGGGAUGCACCCACGAGUGCUGAGGGAGCUGGCAGAUGUCAUUGCUAAGCCACUCUCCAUCAUCUUUGAAAGGUCAUGGAGAACAGGAGAGGUGCCUGAAGACUGGAAGAAAGCCAAUGUCACCCCAGUCUUCAAAAAGGGCAAGAAGGAGGACCCAGGGAACUACAGGCCAGUCAGCCUCACCUGCAUCCCUGGAAAGGUGAUGCAGCAGCUCAUCCUGGAGGCCAUCUCCAAGCAUGUGGAGGAAAAGAAGGUGAUCAGGAGUAGUCAGCAUGGCUUCACCAAGGGGAAACCAUGCUUAACCAAUCUGAUAGCCUUCUAUGAUGGAAUGACUGGCUGAGUAGAUGAG